GACGAACGCUGGCGGCGUGCUUAACACAUGCAAGUCGAGCGAGAAACCCCUUCGGGAGUUUCUAGCGGCGGACGGGUGAGUAACGCGUGAGUGACCUGCCUCUUACAGGGGAAUAACGUGCCGAAAGGCACACUAAUACCGCAUGAGACCAUCGGCUGGGAUGCUGGUGGUGAAAGCCGGGGAUCGAAAGACCUGGCGCAAGGAGAGGGUCCUGCGUCUGAUUAGCUAGUUGGUGGGGUAACGGCCUACCAAGGCGACGAUCAGUAGCCGGCCUGAGAGGGUGAUCGGCCACAACUGGAACUGAGACACGGUCCAGACUCCUACGGGAGGCAGCAGUGGGAAUUUGCGCAAUGGACGAAAGCUG
RNAcentral lists this ribosomal RNA (364 nucleotides) under uncultured bacterium. RNAcentral describes it as "bacterial SSU rRNA". It matches the Rfam family "Bacterial small subunit ribosomal RNA", at positions 28 to 385 of the family's 1533-position model. The record is from RNAcentral.